GGCCCCGUCGUCUAGCGGCCUAGGACAUCUGGUUUUCAGCCAGAGAAUCAGGGGUUCGAAUCCCCUCGGGGUCACCC
Molecule: transfer RNA, 77 nt
Filed under: Candidatus Roizmanbacteria bacterium RIFCSPHIGHO2_02_FULL_37_13b
Lineage: Bacteria; Candidatus Roizmaniibacteriota
Also listed under: 1 other name
Description: tRNA-Glu
Rfam family: tRNA
About the family: Transfer RNA (tRNA) molecules are approximately 80 nucleotides in length. Their secondary structure includes four short double-helical elements and three loops (D, anti-codon, and T loops). Further hydrogen bonds mediate the characteristic L-shaped molecular structure. tRNAs have two regions of fundamental functional importance: the anti-codon, which is responsible for specific mRNA codon recognition, and the 3' end, to which the tRNAs corresponding amino acid is attached (by aminoacyl-tRNA synthetases). tRNAs cope with the degeneracy of the genetic code in two manners: having more than one tRNA (with a specific anti-codon) for a particular amino acid; and 'wobble' base-pairing, i.e. permitting non-standard base-pairing at the 3rd anti-codon position.
Source: RNAcentral